CUUGGUCAUUUAGAGGAAGUAAAAGUCGUAACAAGGUUUCCGUAGGUGAACCUGCGGAAGGAUCAUUAUCGAAAUUAUUGGUGAGGGUUGUAGCUGGCCUUUCGAGGCAUGUGCACGCUCGAGCCCUUAAUCCACUUUACACCUGUGCACUUAAUGUAGGUCGCCCUUAAAAAAGGUGACCUAUGUCUUAUCAUCAACCCAUCGUAUGUCUCAUAGAAUGUAAUCGAUAUCCUCGCCCUAAAAAAGCGUUGAUAAACUUAUACAACUUUCAACAACGGAUCUCUUGGCUCUCGCAUCGAUGAAGAACGCAGCGAAAUGCGAUAGGUAAUGUGAAUUGCAGAUUUUCAGUGAAUCAUCGAAUCUUUGAACGCACCUUGCGCUCCUUGGUAUUCCGAGGAGCAUGCCUGUUUGAGUGUCAUUAAAUUCUCAACUCCAAGGGUUUCACGACCUUUCGGAGAUUGGACUUGGAGGUGCUGGCCGCAUAUUGGUCGGCUCCUCUCAAAUGCAUCAGCGGAAUUCAACCUUUGGCUUCCGGAUGUCAGUGUGAUAAUCAUGUUGCGCUGUCGUUUGAUCCCUCAGAGUCCGCUUAUAAUGGUCUUCGGACAAAAUCAUCAUCAAAUUUGACCUCAAAUCAGGUAGGACUACCCGCUGAACUUAAGCAUAUCAAUAAGCGGAGNA
This 678-nucleotide ribosomal RNA is filed under the name uncultured fungus. RNAcentral's name for it is "eukaryotic LSU rRNA". The stretch from base 264 to 418 matches the Rfam family "5.8S ribosomal RNA". Lineage: Eukaryota; Fungi. The record is from RNAcentral.